This 497-nucleotide ribosomal RNA is filed under the name uncultured bacterium. RNAcentral's name for it is "partial 16S ribosomal RNA". It matches the Rfam family "Bacterial small subunit ribosomal RNA", at positions 28 to 507 of the family's 1533-position model. The record is from RNAcentral.
GAUGAACGCUGGCGGCGUGCCUAAUACAUGCAAGUCGAGCGAACAGACGAGGAGCUUGCUCCUCUGACGUUAGCGGCGGACGGGUGAGUAACACGUGGAUAACCUACCUAUAAGACUGGGAUAACUUCGGGAAACCGGAGCUAAUACCGGAUAAUAUAUUGAACCGCAUGGUUCAAUAGUGAAAGACGGUUUUGCUGUCACUUAUAGAUGGAUCCGCGCCGCAUUAGCUAGUUGGUAAGGUAACGGCUUACCAAGGCAACGAUGCGUAGCCGACCUGAGAGGGUGAACGGCCACACUGGAACUGAGACACGGUCCAGACUCCUACGGGAGGCAGCAGUAGGGAAUCUUCCGCAAUGGGCGAAAGCCUGACGGAGCAACGCCGCGUGAGUGAUGAAGGUCUUCGGAUCGUAAAACUCUGUUAUUAGGGAAGAACAAAUGUGUAAGUAACUACGCACGUCUUGACGGUACCUAAUCAGAAAGCCACGGCUAACUACGUG